Molecule: non-coding RNA, 290 nt
Organism: Phascolarctos cinereus (koala)
Lineage: Eukaryota; Metazoa; Chordata; Mammalia; Diprotodontia; Phascolarctidae
Source: RefSeq, a predicted model, not a curated record
GGAGUACCCUUGUAGCUAAUCUCCAGAGGCUUCAUUGUUGAGGUGCCGAAAGUCCUGAACGAGAGGGAGCCAUUGUAGUGGAGUAAGAUGACCAGAUCUGUGACUUGGGGAAGAUCCCUUUGGCAGCUGUAUGGAGGAUGGAUUGGAGUGGGGAGGCCGUAACUUACAUUCCUAAUGAACUGUCUUCAUAAUAACCCUAUGAAAUAGCACAUCCGAAAACUGAGACCAACUCAGUCUUUCAAACUUCUGUAUUCUGGCAACAUAUCCUAGAAGAAAGAACGCUAAGAGAA